Molecule: ribosomal RNA, 467 nt
Filed under: uncultured bacterium
Lineage: Bacteria
Description: partial 16S ribosomal RNA
Rfam family: Bacterial small subunit ribosomal RNA
Source: RNAcentral
ACGAACGCUGGCGGCGUGCUUAACACAUGCCAGUCGAACGGAAAGGCCCUGCUUUUGUGGGGUGCUCGAGUGGCGAACGGGUGAGUAACACGUGAGUAACCUGCCCUUGACUUUGGGAUAACUUCAGGAAACUGGGGCUAAUACCGGAUAGGGGCUCCUGCUGCAUGGUGGGGGUUGGAAAGUUUCGGCGGUUGGGGAUGGACUCGCGGCUUAUCAGCUUGUUGGUGGGGUAGUGGCUUACCAAGGCUUUGACGGGUAGCCGGCCUGAGAGGGUGACCGGCCACAUUGGGACUGAGAUACGGCCCAGACUCCUACGGGAGGCAGCAGUGGGGAAUAUUGCACAAUGGGCGGAAGCCUGAUGCAGCAACGCCGCGUGCGGGAUGACGGCCUUCGGGUUGUAAACCGCUUUCGCCUGUGACGAAGCGUGAGUGACGGUAAUGGGUAAAGAAGCACCGGCUAACUACGUG